RNAcentral lists this long non-coding RNA (3210 nucleotides) under Sus scrofa (pig). Its description in RNAcentral is "lncRNA (ENSSSCG00000054729.1)". Lineage: Eukaryota; Metazoa; Chordata; Mammalia; Artiodactyla; Suidae. The record is from RNAcentral.
UCCGGGUCAGGCAUCGUUAAACGCCGCUUUGUUCCCGGAGGUCGGAACUUGAGGGGGCCUAACAGAAAGUGGUAGGGGCGUGUCCGAGAGACCGUGUGCACCGCCUUUACAAGGCUGGGUCAGACGUUCCUUCUUGAAAUGAGCCGGUUCGGAAUGUUGGGCUGGAAGGGGAAAGCGAUAGAUUGCCUUUACGUUUUCUGACGGCGAUGGUUUGUUUCCCAAGCACUCAGGAGCUCAAGUAUCGCAAUGAAGGGCAGUCUAGUGUCCGCUACGGGGGCCGAGGUCAAGGCACGGAUACUCUCUCCAGUGCCAGCCUGGACUGUCGUCUCCAAGAGCGAAUUGUAGGAUGGUCAUCAGUGUGUAUAUGUGUUAACUCCUCUUGCAUUUUUCCUGUUCAUGUUUUACUUUUCGGCGGUGGCUAAGGCUCGCAUUUAACGAAGAUGUGGUAAGCGGACUCGAAAGCAAACAGAGUGAUUUGCCAAAAUCUGCUUUCCUGCCCUUUAUCGUCCAUUUAAUUUACCUACUUUUCAGCGACUUUCUUCCACACACAGUUUUCCGCCCAUUCCCACUUAUUGCUUGUUACCCAGCUACUUUUUUAAAGAGGUUGAGCCAUUCCAUGUUCCAACUUAGCACAGCCAAGAAAAAUCUUCAGAGCCCCGUCGCCGGUAGCCCAAACUUCUGAUAGUGGCUUAGUGCAAGAAAUACUGACAUUUAUUGGUAUAAUGCUUUCGCAUUUUUCAAAAGAUCUUUUCAUAGCUCAUCAGAGGAAUAUAUAUGAGAAUAAAACAACUAAGACAGGGCUGGGGAUGCACGGGCUGAAAGCUCAACCUGAGAACUCUCACUACCUAACUAGCUGAGGAAGGGCUUUCACGUGGUUUUUUAACUGUACAGAGAACUGACCUACUGAAAAAUCUUCUAAUUUAUUAUUUUUUAAAAAUAGUAAAAUACGGAAGCCCUUAACAAAGUUAAGUCAUCCAAUCAACAUUAUUGAGGUUAAGUAUAAAAUUCUUAUAAAAUGAAUUUGUAUUGACUCUAUUGACUCUAUUCAUUUCUUUGCUCUACAUAUAAAGGGAAAGUGAAGUAGAAGAAUGAGCUGACUCUCCAGAUAGUAUAAAGCCAAAAUAGGUUUCACUACUUAGAAAUUUCAAAUUAACUCAAAUUUUCUUUCGCUUUGAAUGUGUAUUAAAGCCACACUACUUUAUAAAAUUGUUUUGCUUUAAAAUGGUGAUUGGUACCCAAUUUUAAAAAUUCUCAUCCGAGUAUAGAACUGGACUGAUUAGGUUGACUGUAUCUCUUUUAGGAACAGUUAUUUCCCAAGUCUAAACUCAACUUUGAAUAUUUUUUAAAGCAUAGAAAUGGUGGGAGCUAUUCGAACUCAAAUCUCAGCUGAAUUCUCAAGUCAUUUCAAGAAUGUACUUUUAUUAUUUAUAAAAGGUGCAAAGAUGUAAUAUGCAAUAAACUUAGAGACCAGCGGAAAGAAUCCAGCCAGAAAUUAUUUUACCUUGGAUGUGUGAGCAAGUUAAAAAAUACAAGAGUACCCUUACUCCUACUGUAUUACACCAAUGAAAAAACAGUAACUUUUCUCUAAUGAUACAUUGGUGAUCUCUUUAUUAAUUCAAAACAUUUUUAAGAAGUCAGUGUAAUGCAUGUGCAUUUUACAAUAAUAUCUAUAGAUUUCCACAAUAUAGUCAAAUGAAAACAGCUGUAGUUUGACUUACUUUGAAAACUCAAAUAGAUAUACUUAGUUUGAGAUUUUUGAAUUUUCUUACAUUACUGUCAUGCUCAAAUUCCAUUACAAGUUGAAAAUUCUAGCAUUUUCAGGAAGUCUGUUAGUGUACAUAAGUAAAUAAUAAAAUAGGGGGCAUAAAAAUCCAAAACAAUUUAAGUGGAAGAAAAAUAAUCUGGAUUAUCUAUUCAACUUGUAAGUACCUACAGAUAUUCUGGCAUUUCAGAAUAACCAAAGAUGGUGUCUCAAGUUGUAUUCAUGCAUUCAAAAAGUCUCUGUGGUCCACUAAUAAAUAUUGGUGAAGUCCAAUAUAUGGAUAUAGAUUAUUAAGUAUAGCGAACAUGGUAGCAAAAAAUUAGACACGUUCAAUAUGAUAAAUUUUACAGAACCAAGCACAUUGAAAUUAUUUUUAAUAUUUAACAACAUCCUAAAAUCAUAUACAAUAAACAUUAUUUAUGACAAAUAGGUUAAAGCAAGAGGGAAAAUUCAGGUUUUUUACAUUAUUCCAGUAUUCAGUGUUCAUUGUUCAGUGGACGGCAAUAUAGAAAAGUACUCAGCAAAAUGAUCAUUGAUUUAGGUUACCUCUGACCACUAGUACCACUAAAAUCUUCACUACACAAGGGGAUAGAGGAUGAAGAUAGUUCCAGGGAAAAAGUUCACUUUCACCUCCAUUAAGUGAAUAUUCAGGCUAACACUAUUUUGGAGUUUUAUUUUCCCACUUCAACGUUCCAGUUCAUUUUAUAUUUUUUUUCUUCAUAGUAUUUGUUAGCAUUCUUUUAAUGGAAACUAAUAGCAGUGCUGAGGAAUCUGCUCCGAAUAUUUUUUUCUUUUAGUGUAAUGCUCAUAAAUUUACCUUAAUGUAGCCUCUUUAAAAAUGUAUUACUUUACAGUGGGAAAACCUAACAGACCCUACCUCAGCCAGGUGCUGAAGUUCAGUAUCGACAAUAAGUCAUGAUGAUGGUAUAUACCUUUGAUACCAUGUGAUAUGAAUGGCACCUCUGCGGUCUUCCUUCCAGAAAUCAGUAACACCUGUCCAAUCAUGGGGAAAACCUCAGACACAUUCCAGUUGAGGGACAUCUUACAAAACAGUAGACCAGUACUACUCAAUACUGCCAACAUCAUCAAACACAAAGGAGCGUUUGAGAAAAUGUCACAGCCAAGAGGAUGCGUGAUGACUAAAUGGAAUCUGCUAUUUUGAACAGAAUCCUGGACGGAAAAAAGGCAUAAGGUAAAAGCUAUGGAACUCAAAAGUCUGGACUUAAUAAUGCAUCAAUAUUGAUUCAUUAAUCGUGACAACUGUCUCAUGGGCGUGUGGUAUAUAGAAUCUAUCUGUACUAUCUUUAUAAUUUUUUUCUGUAAAUCUAAAACUAUUCUAAAAAGGUUUAAUGAAAAUUUUAUGAACACACAGCCACCUUUUAUUUUUGUAUUUUCAUAAUAAAAUUACUUUAAAAAUCUUACUACCUGAAUAUUAAAAAGAAUGCUUU